Molecule: ribosomal RNA, 395 nt
Filed under: uncultured bacterium
Lineage: Bacteria
Description: partial 16S ribosomal RNA
Rfam family: Bacterial small subunit ribosomal RNA
Source: RNAcentral
CCUACGGGAGGCAGCAGUGAGGAAUAUUGGUCAAUGGACGAGAGUCUGAACCAGCCAAGUAGCGUGAAGGAUGACUGCCCUAUGGGUUGUAAACUUCUUUUAUAAAGGAAUAAAACGAGGCACGUGUGCCCUUUUGCAUGUACUUUAUGAAUAAGGAUCGGUUAACUCCAUGCCAUCAGCGGCGGUAAGACGGGGGAUCCGAGCGUUAAGCGGAUUUAUUGGGCUGAAAGGGAGCGUAUCUGGGAUGUUAAGUCAGGUGUGAAAGUUUGGGGCUCAACCGGAGAAUUGCAAUUGAUACUGGCAGUCUUGAGUACAGUUGAGGUAGGUGGAAUUCGUGGUGUAGCGGUGAAAUGCUUAGAUAUCACGAAGAACCCCGAUUGCGAAGGCAGCUAACU